CGUUAGUGACUGCGGAGGGACAUUACCGAGUUCGCGCCCCUCGCGGGUCGACCUCCCACCCUGUGUUAUCGCUACCCGUGCUGCCCGGGCCCCGCGCCCGCGGCGGCACCACACUCUUGUUUUUAGUGUCGUCUGAGUCUAAAGAUAAUAGUUAAAACUUUCAACAACGGAUCUCUUGGUUCUGGCAUCGAUGAAGAACGCAGCGAAAUGCGAUAAGUAAUGCGAAUUGCAGAAUUCAGUGAGUCAUCGAAUCUUUGAACGCACAUUGCGCCCCGUGGUAUUCCGCGGGGCAUGCCUGUUCGAGCGUCAUUUCAACCCUCAAGCUCUGCUUGGUGUUGGGCCCCGCCCGCCCGUGGCCGGCCCUAAAACCAGUGGCGGUGCCGCCGGCUCCUAAGCGUAGUAACAUACACCUCGCUCCAGGCUCCCGGCGGUCGCUUGCCAGCAACCCCCAAUCUCCUAGGUUGACCUCGGAUCAGGUAGGGAUACCCGCUGAACUUAAGCAUAUCAAUAA
RNAcentral lists this unclassified non-coding RNA (511 nucleotides) under Skoua asexualis. RNAcentral's name for it is "Skoua sp. 1 ERA-2017 sequence contains 18S rRNA gene, ITS1, 5.8S rRNA gene, ITS2". The stretch from base 156 to 309 matches the Rfam family "5.8S ribosomal RNA". The record is from RNAcentral. Lineage: Eukaryota; Fungi; Ascomycota; Leotiomycetes; Myxotrichaceae.